GCUUACAUGAUCCUGGACGGCUGUGAUGAAGGAUGCUGCACCAACGACAUACCACCCUUUCCAACAAUUUGAUUCCGGAUAUUGCAGGUCAUGGUCCUAGGAGGGAAGGAUGCAUCAAGGAAGAUAACCGAUGACUCUGAUGGUGUUGUCACUAAGAAGGCUUCAGCUUCCUCAACCACAGUGCACACUUCAGGGAUGGAGGACUUCUGGGAAGGGAUGGCUUCCACCUCACGUGGAGAGGACUCUUCUAAAAGCCUAAUUUUGGACCCAUUAUACUUUUGUUUUGCCAAAGUAUACAUCAGUACUGUGAAGUAUGGUGGCACAAUUGCAAAACAGUUGCAGCAUAAGCAGAGGUGACAUGACGCAGCGAUGGUGAAUCAACCUAUGGUAAAGUGAUUGCAUUAUAUUCUGUAGUUUGUUCUGUGUCAGUGAAUCCCUCUGUCUACUCAGGGCUUUUUAACUUCAGUGGCACCCUAUGUUCCAGUAGAUUUUCAGUUAAGUCAAUGAAGGAGCCACAUGGAUUCUGAUUUUUUUUUGUCUGUCUACAUCAAAAAAUACAGUGUGUCUUUAGGUCCAAGUUAUCAUUUCAAUGCUAUAACAUUUUAAUAGUUCUCUAUUAGCAUAAAAACUGUUACUAGAAAAAAAAUUAUAAUUAAAGUUUUACAAAAACAACAGCAACCUUGCUAAAAACAUUUCUUAAAAUGUUUUGCUUUGAUAUUUUUGAUGUGUGGUCUGGAAGUCCAGGCCUUUUGAUUCUUAAAGUACAAGCAAAACAGAGUUUAUAAGGGUAUAUAUGCCUUCAGCGCUGAAAGCAUCUCAUAUUUAGAGAGAGCUGGAUUCUGGAUAAAC
Alligator sinensis (Chinese alligator) is the source of this 849-nucleotide long non-coding RNA. RefSeq lists it as uncharacterized. NCBI's taxonomy places the organism in Eukaryota, Metazoa, Chordata, Crocodylia, Alligatoridae. The record is from RefSeq and is a predicted model, not a curated record. The transcript has 3 exons.